Dreissena polymorpha is the source of this 5028-nucleotide RNA transcript. RefSeq lists it as uncharacterized. Lineage: Eukaryota; Metazoa; Mollusca; Bivalvia; Myida; Dreissenidae. The record is from RefSeq and is a predicted model, not a curated record. The transcript is spliced from 8 exons.
GUCCAUGUUCCUAUGAAUAGAAAGCAGACACACAGUGGAAAACCUGUCCUGACCCAUUGAUGAUCUUAGUUUUGUCUUAACAAGUCCUUGGGCACUGAUACUCCUUUCACACUCGCAUGAUGUGACAGGGAACACACAUGAUAUGGACAAAACAGUGUAAAUGAUGGGGUAUAGCUGGGAAUCACAAUGUGCAACAGAGCCCUGAAGGGUAGUAGGUGUGUUGGGUACACCCUUCCACCUAGCCUGCCAUAUAAAGUGCAACUCAGCAGGCAGGGACUGAGUGGAAGGGAGAUCAUCAUUGAACCAUUCAAGGUCACUAGCACUGACAGGAGAGGAGCACAUUUGUUCAGACGAACGUUCCGAUACAACAUCUACCACGAAAAGCCAACCGAUUUCUAACGAUGCAAAUACAGAUUACAUGGACACAAGUGUCUUGACUCCAAGUGCUUCGAACGACGGAUUUCAAAUCGUAAUUAUUGCUGUUGCGUGCGCAGUGUCUGCGUUGAUCAUCGUCAUAGCAAUCCUCAUUGCCGUGAUAUGUGUACAGCGUAAACGCCUAUCCGUUGCUAACGCCCAACUUCAAGAUACGCCUCGCGUAGAACACGUGUCUCAAGAGGAAGAGAGGCAUGACGUCAUAAGUGUUCAUUAUGAAGUCGUCCCUGACGACAAUACAGAUCGCGGAGCAUCACCAAUGUACACAUCUCUCCAGACCAAUCAACAGGUGGCGGAAAUUCAUCUGUACACUGGCUUGCGGGAAUCAAGGCCCUUGUCCCAAGAAACGUCUACUUAUUAUUCAGUGGCCGAGCAGGGGAAUGACGUUCCAGGGGAGACUAACACCCAAUCACAUGACAAAAUUUAUUAUAAUGUAGCCUCACACAGAAUACAUAUAUAAACCCUAAACAUUUCAAAGCGGUCUACAUACGUUUUGGGUUUAGCUUGAAGUAUGUGGGAGUGAGUUUUACAAUUAUUUGACUGUGUAUGUCACACACAACUUACCAGCCAUGUUUUUUGCUAAUAAAACACAUUUAUCUACGAUUUUAUGAAUUAAUAAAAUAUUAAUAUUAAUAUUAAUCUUAUUUAAUUAGCCGUACUCACUUCUGAAAAUUGAAAUUUUGACUGUUGUAUUACAUAUAAUAAAGGCUAAAGUUACAUUAUUUUACCAUAUUCUCUUCUAAGGUAAAACAGGAAUUGUUUAUUGCUAUGUUGUAUAAUAUGCCCUUUACAGAUAACCUAUGUUAACAUGAUCACGUUUGAGAUAACAAUGUAUAUUUAAUUGUUAUUUUUAUUAAUAUUAUGCAUGAACCUAAUGCUAUUCUUUUUUACCAUGUUUACCUAAGACAUGAAAAUGGACGGGAUUGUUCACUGUUACAUUAUACAGUAAUACACUUACAGCUUAAUUUUUGUAAAAUGUUCACUUCUUCUGAGGUGAACAUGUUAUUAUAUGCUGCUGUGUGAUGUAAUAUUAACUUGGAAGCCUAAUUAUUUUUAGAUGUUUACAACGUAUGUAAAAAUGGAAUUGUUAAUUGUUGAAAAUGGAAUUCUGUACUUUUAUCUUAUAUAAUAUAAAACUUAAAACCUGAGUCUUGUCAGUAUUUUCACUUUUGAUGUGUAUAUGGAAUUAUUGAGUGUUGAAAAUGGAACUACUGACUGCUAUUUUAUACUAUAUAAAUUGUUAGGCUCGUUUAUGUUGACUUGUUCACAUCUAAGGUGAAAAUAGCAUGGUUGGUUAUUGUAUUAUUUUAUAUAAAACUUGAACCUUAAUUAUGUAUCAAGUUCUUUUCGCAUGUAAACGUGGAUUUGUUAAAUUUUAUUUUAUAUAAUACAGUACUUUAGAUAGUGUAGUUUAUUUAAAUUAUAUAACUGUUUUCUAUUAAAAGGAGUAAACCUUCACUAAUAUGCAGUACAGUAAAGUUUUCUAAUUCGUGAUUAGUUCUAGGCUAAGUGUGAAGUUCUUAGCUCCAUAAAUCUUCUUAAACCCUUAGUAUUUUGUCAUUGACCUUAAAAGGUGGUGACCCUAUUUUGUACACAUUUGCGAGUUUUAUGUACAUAUGUGUCUUGUCUAGUGAAUGUAUUUUGUGUCUCACUGUAAAUAAAGUACCGCUUUGUAUAACAAUGGUUUUCUCUAUUCUAAUGCAGCUGAAGAUUCACUUGAUGAGUAUUUUAAAUGAUUAUAAUUACUGAAAGAAAAAAAUAUUUUUGAUUUAUGUUUCUUAUAUAUAUAUUUCAUAAAAGGGCCCCGAACUGAGCUAUAGUGUACUAAUUCUACUUCCGCCACUUGCAUUGCAGUAAAUCUGUUAUCAAUUCAUACCUCUGAAAAGCAUUUCACCAUCAUUGCGCCAGACUCAAUUCAAUGGUUUCUUUGCAGUAAUAUAAUUGUACAGUGCAGUUUUUAGCAACAAAAUCAAUUUCAUAACUUUUUGUUGUCUAGUAAAUUGCUUGAUUACCUGUUGUUAACAACUUACGAGACUUUGAGUCUUAAAUCAGAUCAUGAUUAAGAUUAAUAGAAGAUAAUAUUUAGACCAUGUAUUCGAGCGCCUAAGAGACGAUACAAUGUUUUACCCUGUGCAUUUCAUCGUGGCCUUAGUUUUCGCUAUUAUCAUACUUAACACACUUUAUAUUAUAACAAUAUAUAUAUAUUAUGUUUAAUAGUCUGGUUUAAAAUGACAAGAAAUCUCUUUUGUUGUUAAAGUUAAUAAACACAUUCAGUCUUAAAAUGGUAUUGAGUUGCUUAACAUCCUUAUGAAUAUCAAAUAUCAGUAUUAUAUAAAGUAAAAUUGUCUGACGAAUGGUCAGUUUACGUUAAAUCUGUUUAACAUAAACGAAUCAUAUUAGUAAUGUGCUACUCUACCCUUAAUUUCGUUGAUCUUCCUUUCAAUUAGAUAAGAAACAAUAGUAACCGGCUAUAAACUAGGCCACUAAUAGUUCAUUAAGCAAUUAUGCGAUUUUCUGUUGUCCUGAAUAUUGAUUCAUUUUGUAACGUUUGAAGAUAAGAUUUUCUUAUCAAUUUAUAUUUUUAUACUAAACUGUAAAUAAGUCUGAGAAUUCUGAACACUAUUUCUUUGCUACAUCUUUAGUGGUUAAGCGCUUAAAGGGGAGAUUUUUACACCAAUACAUAAUAUACUCCCGAUGAAUAUAAAAGCCCAUGUUAAGUUAAAAUACUAAAAAGCCAUAACAAGAAGUGUUGAUAAUGAUUUCAUUUAUUUAUAAAAAAAUAAUUACAUUUGAAAUGCAUCUAAUAAUAGUGAGUAUCUUUCAAAACAUCGCAAGGAUAUAUCGGUGACAAUCAUGUGUUUUUUCUUCUGGGUUUUGAAAAAGUGUAUUGCUUUAGGCUUUGGUUUAGAGUAUUAUUUCACUAUGUAUUUCGUUCUAUAUUUGUUUAGUUUAUGAACAAUUUAUAAGCCUUUAUUUUAUUUGCGCAAUUAAUUAUAGUCGUUAGAAACAGCUCAUAAUAUUUAUAAAAAUUAGUAUUUGAUAGUGGACGUUAUUGUUAAUUUUAUAACUGACAUUGCAUAUAUGAGUUCUUGUAAUUAAAUACAAAUACUACACAUUUCGCCGUCAUGCUUUGGAUGUAGUUUGUAGUAUCGGCUACAAGUUUGGUUUAUUGACGACGAAUAGGGAGUGUGUGGCAACAAUUAAACAAUACCUGAAACAACGAUGUGUUAAGGCUCACGUUUACAUAUGUUCAAAGGAAAAUGUACUAAGGUCGAAAACAACUUUAUAAAAUUUUGUGUUGAUGUUAAACGUUUAAGCACAUGUAACAUCUACUUAUUUAUAGUAUGUUGUUUUUCUAAACACACUCUGUAAUGACUUGAAGAAAUAAACCAUGUAUUUGUUUGACUAAUUAUACAAGUAACUGCUUACGGAAAUGACCAUUUAAACUACAACUUGGCUAAGUUAUUGUCUCUUUGCGCAUUAUUGACGUCACUUACUUUUAUACAAUCUACUGUCUAUGGGCGUGAACACUUAUGUGAACUUGUGAAAAGACGUUAUUGUUUAGUCGAGUUUUUUUAAUGUAAUUAUUAGUUUGUUUGGGGUAGUCGAUUGUUAUUAUAUAACAACACAAAAAUCUAAUUCGAAAUGUGUUUGAUUCCUUUAUUUACUACUUGUUUUUUUAAUGAUUUCUCGAUUUAUUUGUUUUAGUAAAUGAGUACUUGAGCUUUCAAAAUAUCGUAUCACUUCAGGUGUUAUAUAAGUUCCUAAGGAAGAUGCAUUUUUCGGAUUUAAUAUUGGUAUCAGUUCUACUUCCGAGUAUAAAUGCGACUUAACAACCAUGCGCCCACAGCUGCGGCUGUACUGAAGUUGAAACCCCUUCCCGUCUAUUUUAUGGAAGAAAUGUCACAAUAACAUUCAGGCCUUCUAACAUCACGAAUGCUGCUCCUCAACUAAUGGAUGUUGACAAUCAAAAUGUGUCAUACAAACAUCACCAUCAUGAUAAUGAAACAAAUGUCUUUACAUUUAUUCUGAGCCAGAACAGAACGACUGAACGUAACCAAACGUUAAAUUGAUGAAAUAUGACAGGUGUUAUUCUGCUUUCAUCCGGUUUGAAUUGAAAGGUUUGUUAAAUGUUGACAUAUUAUAUACAUGAAUCAUUUUAUAGUCAUGAAACGAUAGGUAAAGAUAUCCUUAUAUAAUGUUACAGUUGAAAUAUAUUCAAUGAUAUUUAGAAGUGGCGAAAUGCUUGUAAUUCUCAAUAUUACGUAUUUACCACGUUGUGCUUGCACGUAUAUAGCUGUAUGAAAACUCCGAAAAUCUCCAUUCGUCCUUCUUUUAAAAUUUUUAAUCAGCAACUAUUUCCUGAAAUUUAGCGACGAUUCAUUAGACAUCCGGUUCAAUUAUUUGUCUUAGAUAUAUAGGACUUUAAAAAACUAUUGAAAGUAUAAAUUAAAUAAUUGAUAACAAUUGUAUGGAAUUCAAUGCACAAUUCUUGACUUAUCUGUGCGAGGAAAUUAUCAGCAACUACUGACUGGAGCGCAAUGAAAAAUAAUUGCUAAAUAGAAGUUUGCAUUUAAUUGGUGUGUAUUAGGUCUU